RNAcentral lists this ribosomal RNA (543 nucleotides) under uncultured bacterium. RNAcentral's name for it is "bacterial SSU rRNA". It matches the Rfam family "Bacterial small subunit ribosomal RNA", at positions 968 to 1509 of the family's 1533-position model. The record is from RNAcentral.
CCUUAACCUGGCCUUGACAUACUAAGAACUUUCCAGAGAUGGAUUGGUGCCUUCGGGAACUUAGAUACAGGUGCUGCAUGGCUGUCGUCAGCUCGUGUCGUGAGAUUGUUGGGUUAAGUCCCGCAACGAGCGCAACCCUUUUCCUUAUUUGCCAGCGGGUUAAGCCGGGAACCUUAAGGAUACUGCCAGUGACAAACUGGAGGAAGGCGGGGACGACGUCAAGUCAUCAUGGCCCUUACGGCCAGGGCUACACACGUGCUACAAUGGUCGGUACAAAGGGUUGCUACCUCGCGAGAGGAUGCUAAUCUCAAAAAGCCGAUCGUAGUCCGGAUCGCAGUCUGCAACUCGACUGCGUGAAGUCGGAAUCGCUAGUAAUCGCGGAUCAGAAUGCCGCGGUGAAUACGUUCCCGGGCCUUGUACACACCGCCCGUCACACCAUGGGAGUUUGUUGCACCAGAAGUAGGUAGUCUAACCGCAAGGAGGACGCUUACCACGGUGUGGCCGAUGACUGGGGUGAAGUCGUAACAAGGUAAGCGUAGAUGA